ACAUAGGUAGGAUAAUCCUCACCUGUUCCUCUUUUUGGAGGGCAGAUUGGAACAUGAUGAUAUGUGAUUAACGUUUGUGUGUAAUCAAAACUUACAACACUUUGAUUGCUUCUGAU
Molecule: small nucleolar RNA, 116 nt
Organism: Equus asinus (donkey)
Lineage: Eukaryota; Metazoa; Chordata; Mammalia; Perissodactyla; Equidae
Gene: U8
Rfam family: U8 small nucleolar RNA
About the family: U8 is a member of the C/D class of snoRNA which contain the C (UGAUGA) and D (CUGA) box motifs. U8 is the RNA component of a small complex (the U8 snoRNP) which is required for accumulation of mature large subunit ribosomal RNAs, 5.8S and 28S rRNAs. U8 RNA has been identified in human, mouse, rat and Xenopus.
Source: Ensembl